AGCAAUACAGGAAAGCGGCGGAAGGGAGAGGACAACAUGGGAAACUGCCCUGGGGACGAGGAUAGCGUCGGGAAACUGACGGUAAUACUCGAUAAUGUUUGCGGACCAAAGGUGUGAUUCCGCCCCAGGAUGUGCCCAUGCCCCAUUAGCUAGUUGGCGGUGUAAUGGACCACCAAGGCUAUGAUGGGUAGCUGGUGUGAGAGCACGACCAGCCUCACUGGCACUGAGACACUGGCCAGACACCUACGGGUGGCUGCAGUCGAGAAUCUUCGGCAAUGGACGAAAGUCUGACCGAGCGACGCCGCGUGCGGGAUGAAGGCCUUCGGGUUGUAAACCGCUGUCGAGGGGAAUCAAAUGCAAGGGGGUUCUCCCCCCUGCUUGAGAGAACCCUGGAGGAAGGGGAGGCUAAGCUCGUGCCAGCAGCCGCGGUAAGACGAGCUCCCCAAACGUUAUUCGGUAUCACUGGGCUUAAAGAGUUCGUAGGCGGCGAAGUAGGUGAGGUGUG
This 505-nucleotide ribosomal RNA is filed under the name uncultured Planctomycetaceae bacterium. RNAcentral's name for it is "bacterial SSU rRNA". It matches the Rfam family "Bacterial small subunit ribosomal RNA", at positions 81 to 596 of the family's 1533-position model. The record is from RNAcentral. Lineage: Bacteria; Pseudomonadati; Planctomycetota; Planctomycetia; Planctomycetales; Planctomycetaceae.